This 465-nucleotide ribosomal RNA is filed under the name Vreelandella stevensii. Its description in RNAcentral is "partial 16S ribosomal RNA". It matches the Rfam family "Bacterial small subunit ribosomal RNA", at positions 338 to 795 of the family's 1533-position model. The record is from RNAcentral. Lineage: Bacteria; Pseudomonadati; Pseudomonadota; Gammaproteobacteria; Oceanospirillales; Halomonadaceae.
CCUACGGGGUGCUGCAGUGGGGAAUAUUGGACAAUGGGGGCAACCCUGAUCCAGCCAUGCCGCGUGUGUGAAGAAGGCCCUCGGGUUGUAAAGCACUUUCAGUGAGGAAGAACGCCUGGUGGUUAAUACCCAUCAGGAAAGACAUCACUCACAGAAGAAGCACCGGCUAACUCCGUGCCAGCAGCCGCGGUAAUACGGAGGGUGCGAGCGUUAAUCGGAAUUACUGGGCGUAAAGCGCGCGUAGGUGGCUUGAUAAGCCGGUUGUGAAAGCCCCGGGCUCAACCUGGGAACGGCAUCCGGAACUGUCAAGCUAGAGUGCAGGAGAGGAAGGUAGAAUUCCCGGUGUAGCGGUGAAAUGCGUAGAGAUCGGGAGGAAUACCAGUGGCGAAGGCGGCCUUCUGGACUGACACUGACACUGAGGUGCGAAAGCGUGGGUAGCAAACAGGAUUAGAUACCCUUGUAGUC